Long non-coding RNA from Ipomoea triloba (trilobed morning glory), 2426 nucleotides. RefSeq lists it as uncharacterized. The transcript is spliced from 5 exons. NCBI's taxonomy places the organism in Eukaryota, Viridiplantae, Streptophyta, Magnoliopsida, Solanales, Convolvulaceae. The record is from RefSeq and is a predicted model, not a curated record.
CAAGGAUCUCACUUCCGAUAAGAAAUUGCUCAUAGGUCAAGCUAUGCACACGAUCAUCAUCUUGAUAGUGAAGGAAUAGGUGCCGGCAAACAGGGAGGCCUUUUUGGGAAGCUUCCUGUGAAAAUUCAUUGAGGUUCAGAAUGUGGCUAAUAUGAAACUUACUUCAUGUGUUCGGAAGAUGGUGGUGAAGGCAUUUAAUUCCAUCCAUCGGAGGAGCAGCUCUUCGCUUCUUGUGUACUUAAAAAACGUAUGAUUAGUGGCAGACCUGAAUAGAGGCAAGCAUCCACUGGCAGGCCUUCACCAAAAUCAGCCAUCCAUCCUCUGACUCCAUCAUCCACCAUUUCUUUCAACACCUGCUUGAACCAACCUGCAGUAUGCGGAUGUGUCAAGUCCAACAUUCCCACAUCAAAAGCUGUGUUGGGCACCAUGUACGGUUGACCAUAUUUGUCUUUCACUAAGAUGCCCAAGUUCUUUGCCUCCUCAAAGAGGUGUCUCCUAGUGUUUGGCUUUGUAUCCAUCUGCAUUAGUGAACAGGUUCCUAAACAUUGUCAGGCAUUUACUAUCAGCAAUUAAUCAUAUCAUAUGUGGAGAAGGUUGUGUCAGGUAUCAAUAAUUGCUAUGGAGUUUAUCAGUAGCAGUGAAGAUAAAUACCGGGGCAAGGCAAGGAUUGCAAUAAGUCAUCACUUCGAUAUACUGAGCAUUAAGAUCUUUAAUUAAUUGCUGCCACCCAUAAUAUCUUGUGGUAUCUGUUUCCCAGUUCCACCAAAGCUGUGAACCAAUCAUUGUCUCCCUCUGCCCUACCCAAUCCUACAAAAGUAGUACUUGUUGAGCCAUUGUGUGCAAUAUGGUCUUCAAUAUUGUUUCAGGUUUCAUCACCAUAAUAUCAAAAACAAAAUCUAAUUCAAAUUGUUGGUCUAGUUGGAGAAGUGUGAAUUUAAUCUGCCUUAAAGCAUAAUCCCACUUCUAAUAUGAAUCUUUCAUUAGUUCAGGUGGAUUUUGUACCUGCAACCAGAACGCUGACACUGGGACUCCAUGCCUUUGCAUUUCAUUCCAGAUGCUGCGUACAGUAUCUGUGCCCCCCUGCAUUCCCACCACAGCACCAGAAAUUAUCCACUCUGGAAGUUCUGGAGGCCUUCCUAUACUUUCUGUUAAGUGCUCAAUGAGCUCACAAGAUGCUAUGAUAAGGAAGGGAUGCAUUACAGGGGUGGUCUGUAUUGGUAUUGAAAUGGCUGCAGUGUGUAAAUUACUCAACAUUAUACCUGUAGCUCACCAAAUUGGCUGCAAAGGUAAUAGGUUGGUCUCCUCUCCCAAUUCCUUGUUCUUGAACAAAAAUGGGUACUCGUUUUCCUUUGAAGUCCAGUUGAGAAAAUUGCUCCCCGAAACCGUAAAAUCUCUCAUUUUUUUCACUUGAAUAAGUGAGAAAGAUCCUGUUGAAGUAUUGAGACCCGGCUGUUCUCAUUGUCACUUUUUCCUCUUCUGUAGAUGAAACUGUGACAAUCCCUUUUUUCCUUGAAAGAAGUCUGGACCAUCUGACACGGCAUCGAUUAAUCAUACCAAACUUCUGGGAAAAACUUCUCAGCCAGUAGCUAGCAGAGGUUGAAGCUUCUUUUUCCGAAAGACGUGUGUUCUCAUUUCCAUGGUAACUUUGAAUCUUCUUCUUCCUUUUCCUGACACUGAAAACCUUUCCUCUGAUCAGCAAAAGAGGAAACUGACCAUUUCUUUUGUCAGAAAGUGAUGGAAAGUCAUGAUCUUUGGCUUCCGAAGGCAAAUCUGAUUCAUUUAUGACUCUGAUAUCAUCAAUGGUUUGAUGAUUGCAUAUCAAAUGAACAUCCUUAUCCUUGAUCACAAAUGACCCUCUGCUUUCUACCACCUCUGUUUCAACCGCUGCAGCAGAGAUGAAAACCUCACCAGGAAUGGUGGACCAUGCAUGUCUGGCAGGCUGAGACUUGUGAGAUAUGGAAAGAAAUCCGCCGUUCUUCGCCGACCAGUUGAAUUGAAAAUCAUGGCCAAUACUAUAGAUCUGGUGUGAAGGGAGUGCUUGGAGAUUGAGAGAGAGAGCUCCUUGAAUAAAAGGGAUGGAUUUUGGAGGGGAAGGGAAAGGAUUGUUAAGGUGUUUGUGAUGCUUCUUGGUGAUUUUGAAGGCCAUGAUGCAAUGCAAGCUGAAUCUACUCUCUAUGGUACUAUUUAUAAACCUGCAUCUCUUUUCAUUUCUUGGGGGAGGGUGGGGUAUUUUUGUAAUUUGAUCAACCUAAUAUUAGAUCAAAAGUCAAAACAAUCUUAAAAUCUAACGCUGCUUAAUUUUCUUUUAAUUGUAGUAAUUGUUUCAGGAAUCAGGACAUUAAUUAGGGGCGUUAAGUAGUCUAAUUCUAGAACUUUGUAGGUGAGUUGAGUUGGCGACCCCACCAAAUUCCAUUUUCAAUAUUUGC